RNAcentral lists this long non-coding RNA (1348 nucleotides) under Salvia miltiorrhiza (redroot sage). Its description in RNAcentral is "long non-coding RNA (SMIL_LNC007629)". The record is from RNAcentral. Lineage: Eukaryota; Viridiplantae; Streptophyta; Magnoliopsida; Lamiales; Lamiaceae.
GAAAACAGUGAAUUAGGGAGAAAGAUUGAAUAUUAGUACAUUACAUUAGACAAAAUGAACAUUUUAUUACAAGUUAGUGAAUGAAAAUGAACCAAGAAAAAACAAGAGAAACAAUUCCUCAUAAGAAAGCAAAAGAUUACGAGAUUAAGCACUCCACUAGCAAACUGAUAAUUACCCUAAGGAAAAUAAUUUCCAAAUAAAGAGAGACCUUAGACAAUAAGGACUCAUACUAACGAAAGGAAAGCAACAAAUAUAGAAAUAAUGAACUGACACAAAUAUUGCCCGUUGGUGGACCAACAAGUACUUCAUCAGGUAUUGGUUCAGACAUUUGAUCGAACACCUUCUGCUCAGCCUCUGCUUUUGCCGUUGUAGGCAGUCAUUUUAUCAAACACCUCUUGCCCAGUCUUGUCUAGAAGCCCAACAACAUUUGUAUCAUCGACAAAAUGAUAACGGUCUACUUUUCAUGAAGCGGUAUAAUUCAAAACCUCAAAAGGCAUUUUUGCAAACACCCUCUCCAUCUCUAAAUUGAGGAAUCGACUAUCCAGCUCGAUCAUGCUAAUGGGGAAAAAAUAAAAGUAAAAAAAACUAAAAGUCAGCCAAUGAAGCAUCCAUACAAUUUGCUAAAAGUUAAUAGCUCUGAAAAUUUAACUAGCACCAACAAAAUAAUCUAUAUCUAUAUCUAUACUAAUAGAAAAAGAACCUAAGCAUUUUAUGGGACAACUUGUGGAUUGCCUAUUUUACCCCUAUCAUAUAUUUUAUAUUAUAAUAUUUAUAAAAUAAAUUUAAUAGCUUAUUGCAUUAGUUAUCGGAUACAUCAAAUAGAUUAGCAUUAGUUUAGAAUUCUAAUUGCAUUAGAAUUCUCUCUCUCUCUCUCUAAAGCUUUAAUAGCUUAUUGCAUUAGUUAUCGGAUACAUCAAAUAGAUUAGCAUUAGUUUAGAAUUCUAAUAAUUCUGGCGAAACUACGUAUUGAUCAAUCAGCGCGCACCUGCUCACGUCGACGCCGUUCGCACCUCCGGCCGGCCAACGAAUCGCUGCCGUUCCCAUCCGCUAUCUCGCCCUCUCGCCGCCAACCAAGCUUCAAGUUUGUGAUUUUGGUUUAUAAUCUAAUUCUGGCGAAACUACAUAUUGAUCAAUCAGCGCGCACCUGCUCACGUCGACGCCGUUCACACCUCCGGCCGGCUAACGAAUCGCUGCCGUUCCCAUCUGCUGUCUCGCCCUCUCGCCGUCAACCGUCUAGGGCUCUAUAUGUCGCUCUCCAGUCAGGUAGGUAAGCCCUCAAACUACAAACUGUUAUUUCUUUAUACUAGCAGUAAGAACGUGCGAUGCACGUUAAACACGUGUGUUUUUG